RNAcentral lists this ribosomal RNA (253 nucleotides) under uncultured bacterium. Its description in RNAcentral is "partial 16S ribosomal RNA". It matches the Rfam family "Bacterial small subunit ribosomal RNA", at positions 524 to 776 of the family's 1533-position model. The record is from RNAcentral.
UACGAAGGGGGCUAGCGUUGUUCGGAAUUACUGGGCGUAAAGGGCGCGUAGGCGGUACUUCAAGUCAGGCGUGAAAGCCCCGGGCUCAACCUGGGAACCGCGCUUGAGACUGGAGAACUAGAGUUCGGGAGAGGAUGGUGGAAUUCCCAGUGUAGAGGUGAAAUUCGUAGAUAUCGGGAGGAACACCAGUGGCGAAGGCGGCGACCUGGGCCAAUACUGACGCUGAGGUGCGAAAGCGUGGGGAGCAAACAGG